UGUACAUCAACAACAAAGUACUUUCAUAGCAUAGCAAAAGGCAAUUCAAGUUCUAACAUUAAACAUCUACUCUACAAAAGGGUUACACCAGUAACAUCGUUGUUAGUAGGAUCCUCUUCUACAACUUCCCCAUAAGCAACUGUUGUUACCACGUUUUCCUCAUCAACUCCAACUUCAGUCGUAGGAGUAGGCUUAUUCUCCAACAGAGUACCUUCAGGAAUGUCCAUGAGGGGUACCAAUUUCCCUUGAUAAACAUCCUUCUUCGUAUCAAAUUCAACACCUUCAGUUGAUACGUUCAGCAGAUGUGAUACUUGCCUCAAGACCUUUUUAAAGCCUCGAGUAUGCUCUUCAACAAUCGCCCUCCCCAUCUCUUCCAUUAACUCCUUGUCCUCAGCAACUUUGGUGAGCAACGCAUCCCUCUUUGCUCGGGCCUCCUUUCCAGCAGUCUUCAAUGAAGCAAUGACAUUAUUUUGGUUGAAAGCCUCUUUCUUCAGCAGUUCUAGUUCAACAACUAAGCGGUCACGAUCUUUCUUCAGCUCGGCGCCAGCCCUCUGCAUGUUUCCCACUAGAGUCUGAGCUUCGCUCGGUCCUCAGGACUCCUCUAUCAAAGGCAUACGCCAGAUGCCAAGUAGCCACUGCUGCGCGACAUGUCAGCUCCAUGGCAUUGUCGACCAUUUGUUGCUCAGACAUGCCUUCUACCACUUUCUUCUCAGCCUCAUCCAGAUUAAAGGCAAUCUUAUGGCCCACGUUGAAAGCUUUAUUAAUUUUGCCAAUGAAUGGUCCUAGAACUAUUUAUGUCAGGC
RNAcentral lists this small RNA (803 nucleotides) under Vigna angularis var. angularis. RNAcentral's name for it is "Non-protein coding transcript". Lineage: Eukaryota; Viridiplantae; Streptophyta; Magnoliopsida; Fabales; Fabaceae. The record is from RNAcentral.